GCCUCAGUGGUGUAGUGAUAGCACGUGCCCCUGGGAAUGGGUGAAACGCGGGUUUAACUCCCGUUUAAUGGCA
Non-coding RNA from Parelaphostrongylus tenuis, 73 nucleotides. The record is from the annotation of a GenBank genome assembly. Lineage: Eukaryota; Metazoa; Nematoda; Chromadorea; Rhabditida; Metastrongylidae.